RNAcentral lists this ribosomal RNA (121 nucleotides) under Castor canadensis (American beaver). Lineage: Eukaryota; Metazoa; Chordata; Mammalia; Rodentia; Castoridae. The record is from RNAcentral.
GUCUACAGCCAUACCACCCUGAACUGGCCGAUCUCAUCUGAUCUCUCAAGCUAAGCAGGGUUGGUCCUGGUUAGUACUUUGAUGGGAAAUAAUCUUUGAAAAUUACUCAACCCUGUGCAUC